This 409-nucleotide ribosomal RNA is filed under the name Acidobacteriota bacterium. RNAcentral describes it as "Acidobacteria bacterium partial 16S ribosomal RNA". It matches the Rfam family "Bacterial small subunit ribosomal RNA", at positions 355 to 776 of the family's 1533-position model. The record is from RNAcentral. Lineage: Bacteria; Pseudomonadati; Acidobacteriota.
UGGGGAAUAUUGCACAAUGGGCGAAAGCCUGAUGCAGCGACGCCGCGUGAGGGAUGACGGCCUUCGGGUUGUAAACCUCUUUCAGCAGGGACGAAGCGCAAGUGACGGUACCUGCAGAAGAAGCACCGGCUAACUACGUGCCAGCAGCCGCGGUAAUACGUAGGGUGCAAGCGUUGUCCGGAAUUACUGGGCGUAAAGAGUUCGUAGGCGGUUUGUCGCGUCGUUUGUGAAAACCAGCAGCUCAACUGCUGGCUUGCAGGCGAUACGGGCAGACUUGAGUACUGCAGGGGAGACUGGAAUUCCUGGUGUAGCGGUGAAAUGCGCAGAUAUCAGUAGGAACACCGGUGGCGAAGGCGGGUCUCUGGGCAGUAACUGACGCUGAGGAACGAAAGCGUGGGUAGCGAACAGG